Molecule: ribosomal RNA, 429 nt
Filed under: Actinomycetes bacterium
Lineage: Bacteria; Bacillati; Actinomycetota; Actinomycetes
Description: Actinobacteria bacterium partial 16S ribosomal RNA
Rfam family: Bacterial small subunit ribosomal RNA
Source: RNAcentral
UAGGGAAUCUUCCGCAAUGGGCGAAAGCCUGACGGAGCAACGCCGCGUGAGUGAUGAAGGUCUUCGGAUCGUAAAACUCUGUUAUUAGGGAAGAACAAAUGUGUAAGUAACUAUGCACGUCUUGACGGUCCCUAAUCAGAAAGCCACGGCUAACUACGUGCCAGCAGCCGCGGUAAUACGUAGGUGGCAAGCGUUAUCCGGAAUUAUUGGGCGUAAAGCGCGCGUAGGCGGUUUUUUAAGUCUGAUGUGAAAGCCCACGGCUCAACCGUGGAGGGUCAUUGGAAACUGGAAAACUUGAGUGCAGAAGAGGAAAGUGGAAUUCCAUGUGUAGCGGUGAAAUGCGCAGAGAUAUGGAGGAACACCAGUGGCGAAGGCGACUUUCUGGUCUGUAACUGACGCUGAUGUGCGAAAGCGUGGGGAUCAAACAGG